UAUAUUUUAGUGUAAUGCAUAUAAAAUUUUGAAUUUUAUGGUGAUAAAAUUUUUAUUAAAUAUAA
This 65-nucleotide transfer RNA is filed under the name Taeniogonalos tricolor. RNAcentral describes it as "tRNA-Gln". Lineage: Eukaryota; Metazoa; Arthropoda; Insecta; Hymenoptera; Trigonalidae. The record is from RNAcentral.